RNAcentral lists this ribosomal RNA (435 nucleotides) under uncultured bacterium. RNAcentral's name for it is "bacterial SSU rRNA". It matches the Rfam family "Bacterial small subunit ribosomal RNA", at positions 43 to 524 of the family's 1533-position model. The record is from RNAcentral.
CAGGCCUAACACAUGCAAGUCGAACGAUGGCUUCGGCCAUAGUGGCGCACGGGUGCGUAACGCGUGGGAAUCUGCCCUUGGGUUCGGAAUAACAGCGAGAAAUUGCUGCUAAUACCGGAUGAUGACGUAAGUCCAAAGAUUUAUCGCCCAAGGAUGAGCCCGCGUAGGAUUAGCUAGUUGGUGAGGUAAAAGCUCACCAAGGCGACGAUCCUUAGCUGGUCUGAGAGGAUGAUCAGCCACACUGGGACUGAGACACGGCCCAGACUCCUACGGGAGGCAGCAGUGGGGAAUAUUGGACAAUGGGCGAAAGCCUGAUCCAGCAAUGCCGCGUGAGUGAUGAAGGCCCUAGGGUUGUAAAGCUCUUUUACCCGGGAUGAUAAUGACAGUACCGGGAGAAUAAGCCCCGGCUAACUCCGUGCCAGCAGCCGCGGUAAU